CCCCUGUCCUCAUCUCUUCCUUUCCUCCUGCCCCAGAAUAUAUUUCUUAGGGAGCAGCUGGACUGAAAGUUAUGGAGGAGCUCAGUGGGUUUGGAGGGGGAGAGGGAGAGAAGCUCCCCUCAAAUGCCCUCUCAGUUAAGGUUUGUUCUUUAAAUAUCCCACGUUUGUGCUAGAAGUGUUACAACAAAGUAGGCAAUGUGUUUUGUCUACAGACUAACCUGUGCACAUAGUUUCGCGUUAGCGUCCUUUCAUUCCUUCUAGAUAAUCUGUUACUGCUAUUAAUAGAAACAUACGCAACCUUCCUGGUGACCGAAAUUGCCUGGAGAUAACAAGAGGUUUUCUCGUUGUGCCUGGAACUUUUUGGUUGGGCGUUUUUUUGGGUGUUGGGCUGGCAACGGUGGAGCAAAGGCCUAGUGCAGCAGGCGAAGGCUUGUUCUGCUGGUGGAGCCACUGGAGGCCUGUGUGAGGAAUGCCCCUUGCUUUCCAGGACAUGACCUGGAUGCACCCCAAUACAGGGUACAGUCUGGUGGUUAUGAUAUGCAGUGCCUGCUGACAAACCAAGAAGCUGUUUUGAUGACCCGUUGUGCAAAGAAACCUGUCUGCAGGCCGUAUGUCUGUGUGAUUACAAAAGUGGAGCAUUUCUUAUCCCCAGUGUUAAGUGGAACCAGUCUGGCUGAGCUGAGUAGAAACGCAGUGACUAGUGCUGGGGCCGUUACUGGCUGUGUAUGGGGAGGCAUCCUCUGGAGAUGGAUCGGGCAGAACAAGCAAACCAUGACAUUCAGCCGUUACGUCUGCAAGCAGAUCUGCGGCUACUUCCUGCAGUUGUCCAUGGUGUUUCUCAUUGGUAAUUAUGGAAGAACAUAAAACACAGGCAGCUUUCCUUUCAGAUGCCACCAAAUCUAUGUAAAGUCAGACUGGGAAAAGCCACAGGAGCAAAGAAUGGGUGGGGAGAGGCGGUUCUGGAGCUGUAAAAGACAUCUUUACAGCCAACAGACCGAAAGGCUCUUCCAGUUUGUAUCUUGCUCAAAUAUUUAAGACAACAGGUUACAUUCUUUUAACUUCUGUUUUCUCUCGUAGAAAUCCAUAUUUAGGUAGAUAAUUUUAAAAGUCA
Molecule: long non-coding RNA, 1111 nt
Filed under: Anser brachyrhynchus (Pink-footed goose)
Lineage: Eukaryota; Metazoa; Chordata; Aves; Anseriformes; Anatidae
Description: lncRNA (ENSABRG00000011183.1)
Source: RNAcentral